AAAUUGAAGAGUUUGAUCAUGGCUCAGAUUGAACGCUGGCGGCAGGCCUAACACAUGCAAGUCGAGCGGAAACGAGUUAUCAGAACCUUCGGGGGACGAUAACGGCGUCGAGCGGCGGACGGGUGAGUAAUGCCUAGGAAAUUGCCCUGAUGUGGGGGAUAACCAUUGGAAACGAUGGCUAAUACCGCAUGAUGCCUACGGGCCAAAGAGGGGGACCUUCGGGCCUCUCGCGUCAGGAUAUGCCUAGGUGGGAUUAGCUAGUUGGUGAGGUAAAGGCUCACCAAGGCGACGAUCCCUAGCUGGUCUGAGAGGAUGAUCAGCCACACUGGAACUGAGACACGGUCCAGACUCCUACGGGAGGCAGCAGUGGGGAAUAUUGCACAAUGGGCGCAAGCCUGAUGCAGCCAUGCCGCGUGUGUGAAGAAGGCCUUCGGGUUGUAAAGCACUUUCAGUCGUGAGGAAGGCGGUGUAGUUAAUAGCUGCAUCGUUUGACGUUAGCGACAGAAGAAGCACCGGCUAACUCCCGUGCCAGCAGCCGCGGUAAUACGGAGGGUGCGAGCGUUAAUCGGAAUUACUGGGCGUAAAGCGCAUGCAGGUGGUUUGUUAAGUCAGAUGUGAAAGCCCGGGGCUCAACCUCGGAAUUGCAUUUGAAACUGGCAGACUAGAGUACUGUAGAGGGGGGUAGAAUUUCAGGUGUAGCGGUGAAAUGCGUAGAGAUCUGAAGGAAUACCGGUGGCGAAGGCGGCCCCCUGGACAGAUACUGACACUCAGAUGCGAAAGCGUGGGGAGCAAACAGGAUUAGAUACCCUGGUAGUCCACGCCGUAAACGAUGUCUACUUGGAGGUUGUGGCCUUGAGCCGUGGCUUUCGGAGCUAACGCGUUAAGUAGACCGCCUGGGGAGUACGGUCGCAAGAUUAAAACUCAAAUGAAUUGACGGGGGCCCGCACAAGCGGUGGAGCAUGUGGUUUAAUUCGAUGCAACGCGAAGAACCUUACCUACUCUUGACAUCCAGAGAACUUUCCAGAGAUGGAUUGGUGCCUUCGGGAACUCUGAGACAGGUGCUGCAUGGCUGUCGUCAGCUCGUGUUGUGAAAUGUUGGGUUAAGUCCCGCAACGAGCGCAACCCUUAUCCUUGUUUGCCAGCGAGUAAUGUAGGGAACUCCAGGGAGACUGCCGGUGAUAAACCGGAGGAAGGUGGGGACGACGUCAAGUCAUCAUGGCCCCUUACGAGUAGGGCUACACACGUGCUACAAUGGCGCAUACAGAGGGCAGCCAACUUGCGAAAGUGAGCGAAUCCCAAAAAAGUGCGUCGUAGUCCGGAUUGAGUCUGCAACUCGACUCCAUGAAGUCGGAAUCGCUAGUAAUCGUGGAUCAGAAUGCCACGGUGAAUACGUUCCCGGGCCUUGUACACACCGCCCGUCACACCAUGGGAGUGGGCUGCAAAAGAAGUAGGUAGUUUAACCUUCGGGGGGGACGCUUACCACUUUGUGGUUCAUGACUGGGGUGAAGUCGUAACAAGGUAGCGCUAGGGGGAACCUGGCGCUGGAUCACCUCCUUA
RNAcentral lists this ribosomal RNA (1557 nucleotides) under Vibrio parahaemolyticus. RNAcentral's name for it is "bacterial SSU rRNA". It matches the Rfam family "Bacterial small subunit ribosomal RNA". Lineage: Bacteria; Pseudomonadati; Pseudomonadota; Gammaproteobacteria; Vibrionales; Vibrionaceae. The record is from RNAcentral.